This 376-nucleotide ribosomal RNA is filed under the name uncultured Gammaproteobacteria bacterium. Its description in RNAcentral is "bacterial SSU rRNA". It matches the Rfam family "Bacterial small subunit ribosomal RNA", at positions 86 to 495 of the family's 1533-position model. Lineage: Bacteria; Pseudomonadati; Pseudomonadota; Gammaproteobacteria. The record is from RNAcentral.
ACGAGUAAAGUGGCGGACGGGUGAGUAAUGCAUAGGAAUCUGCCCAGUAGUGGGGGACAACUCGGGGAAACUCGAGCUAAUACCGCAUGUGUCUUACGAGACAAAGACUUCGGUCGCUAUUGGAUGAGCCUAUGUCAGAUUAGCUUGUUGGUGGGGUAAAGGCCUACCAAGGCUACGAUCUGUAGCUGGUCUGAGAGGAUGAUCAGCCACACUGGGACUGAGACACGGCCCAGACUCCUACGGGAGGCAGCAGUGGGGAAUAUUGGACAAUGGGCGAAAGCCUGAUCCAGCAAUGCAGCGUGUGUGAAGAAGGCCUGCGGGUUGUAAAGCACUUUCAGUAGGGAAGAUAAUGACGGUACCUACAGAAGAAGCACCG